UCCCUUAGAUGUCCUGGGCCGCACGCGUGCUACACUGAUGCAUACAGCGAGUACUCUCCAGCUCCGCGAGGCAGCUGGUAAUCAGCAAUAUGCAUCGUGCUGGGGAUAGAUCUUUGGAAUUAUAGAUCUUGAACGAGGAAUUCCUAGUAAGCGCAAGUCAUUAGCUUGCGCUGAUUAAGUCCCUGCCCUUUGUACACACCGCCCGUCGCUCCUACCGAUUUCGAGUGAUUCGGUGAACCUUUUGGACAGCGUCAGUCUUCGUGUCGGAUGCUGAAAGUCAAGUAAACCAUAUCACUUAGAGGAAGGAGAAGUCGUAACA
This 319-nucleotide ribosomal RNA is filed under the name uncultured eukaryote. RNAcentral's name for it is "partial 18S ribosomal RNA". It matches the Rfam family "Eukaryotic small subunit ribosomal RNA", at positions 1469 to 1796 of the family's 1831-position model. The record is from RNAcentral.